This 490-nucleotide ribosomal RNA is filed under the name uncultured bacterium. Its description in RNAcentral is "partial 16S ribosomal RNA". It matches the Rfam family "Bacterial small subunit ribosomal RNA", at positions 29 to 505 of the family's 1533-position model. The record is from RNAcentral.
AGUGAACGCUGGCGGUAGGCCUAACACAUGCAAGUCGAACGGCAGCACAGUAAGAGCUUGCUCUUACGGGUGGCGAGUGGCGGACGGGUGAGGAAUACAUCGGAAUCUACUUUUUCGUGGGGGAUAACGUAGGGAAACUUACGCUAAUACCGCAUACGACCUACGGGUGAAAGCAGGGGAUCCUCGGACCUUGCGCGAUUGAAUGAGCCGAUGUCGGAUUAGCUAGUUGGCGGGGUAAAGGCCCACCAAGGCGACGAUCCGUAGCUGGUCUGAGAGGAUGAUCAGCCACACUGGAACUGAGACCCGGUCCAGACUCCUACGGGAGGCAGCAGUGGGGAAUAUUGGACAAUGGGCGCAAGCCUGAUCCAGCCAUACCGCGUGGGUGAAGAAGGCCUUCGGGUUGUAAAGCCCUUUUGUUGGGAAAGAAAAGCAGCAGGUUAAUACCCCGCUGUUCUGACGGUACCCAAAGAAUAAGCACCGGCUAACUUCG